RNAcentral lists this ribosomal RNA (165 nucleotides) under uncultured bacterium. RNAcentral describes it as "partial 16S rRNA". It matches the Rfam family "Bacterial small subunit ribosomal RNA", at positions 355 to 511 of the family's 1533-position model. The record is from RNAcentral.
UAGGGGAUCUUCGGCAAUGGACGAAAGUCUGACCGAGCAACGCCGCGUGAGUGAAGAAGGUUUUCGGAUCGUAAAACUCUGUUGGUAGAGAAGAACGUUGGUGAGAGUGGAAAGCUCAUCAAGUGACGGUAACUACCCAGAAAGGGACGGCUAACUACGUGCCAC